GGAUUUUAUUAUUACUAAAUCUAUAUUUGAGAUUUUGUAUUACAAAUUAAAAUUUAGUGAUAAUGUUGUUAUAGUGCCUUAAGUUCAGAAAUAACAUGUUAGAUUUAUCCUAUGAUCAUAUGGCAAAAUUUGCUUUUACAAACUUCGAUGUCUAACAGCUCUCUUGCACACAGCAACAUCCACCCGUACACCAACAGGCAUAUAUAGAACUGAACAUCCCGUAAAAGGUAAUCUUAGCUCAUGA
RNAcentral lists this unclassified non-coding RNA (244 nucleotides) under Hevea brasiliensis (rubber tree). The record is from RNAcentral. Lineage: Eukaryota; Viridiplantae; Streptophyta; Magnoliopsida; Malpighiales; Euphorbiaceae.